GGUUCUGUUUGCAACUGGGAAAAAGGAAGAGUUUAGUGAACAGCAAAUCUCAGGGAGCGGGAGAGGAGAGAGGAGAUGCAGGAGCCAAGAUCCACGGCACCUGCCGGCCUCUCCCUUUGCACUGACCUUCAGAAACUAUAACCAGGAAGGAUGAGCCACAAAGAGCCAGAAGAGGUGUGGCACCCCAAGGACUGGCCAUUUGGCAGGCACCGUGAGAUCAUUUUCUUGGCUUCUUAUAAUUGAAACCAUGCAGAGGGGCUGUGGUGAGUGGAGACAGAGAGAGAGAGAGAGAAGGGAUUGAUUUUGUAUAAGGAACUGGCUCACACAGUUAUGAAGGCUGACAAGUCCCAAGACCUGCAGUUGGCAAGCUGGAGGCCCAGGAGAGCCGAUGGUGAGCAACCAAGUCCUGUUCCGAUAUUCUUCCUUCAAACUUCCUCACCCAAGACUAAAAGUUCCACAGGUGUGCGAGUUGGCCGCAACUCUGCUGAUCUUGGCGGGGACUCCAGGCUCCAGGUUCCAAGGGUUCAUGUCGGCUCCAUGUGGCUCUCAUCACUCUCAGACUAACGGCUACCCAGGGCGUGUGGUCUGUUUUAUUGUCUCAUUCUCAGACCCAGGCUGAGGGCAGAGAGAACAGGUCUCCUGAAGACUGAGGCCUAGACCCUACGUGGUGCUCCUCUAUCCUCUCUCUGAAAUUAAGAGCUCUAUCCCCUGGGUCUAUAUUCCUCUGGGACACCAGCAGGAGCAGGACCCAAUUCCCUAGUUCCACUCGGCAUGAGUUCCUCAUCCUCCCGUUGGCCAGACCUUGCCUUCCCCAGCAGAAGGUGGAUUCUCGGCCCGUCUCACUGGGAGCCACGGAAUCUUGGCGUCCUCAGAUGCCGCUGUUCUGACUUCACCCACGUCAUCAGCCUUCUCAUCCCCAGCAGGCUUCCCACUGCAGUUCCUCGACAGUCGGAAAGUCCACUGGUCACACAAAUACAGGGCGAAGGUAAAAUGAAUUAAGGACCCAUUGCCUGUUCUCACCUCAUCAAAACACAUAAUCAAUAAUGUAUACUGUGUACUCCUGACUACCCCAUUCCAGCAAUUUUCUGAUCAGUUGAGGACUUCUGCCAUAACCUAAAAGAUCACAGUAUGCUGCAAGGCUUCUAGGAUUUUGCGGUCGGCUAUAGGCCUUCAGUAUUACAAUCAACGUGAAAGUCUAGUGGCAUAAAGGAGAGCCAUACUACAUAAGUCAAGGUAAUUUAACAUGGGAGAAGGAUUCAGCUAUGUCAUAAUCCCAUGUUUCCAUGACGUAUACUGGAAUAAGCAAAUGGACUCUUUAUUUAGCAAAGCAUUACUGCCUACUGAAAAAGAAUUCUAUUUUAGAAUCACAAAUAUAUGAGAGCACAGGCUCCGGAAGCACAGGCUCAGUGGCCAUGGCUCACGGGCCCAGCCGCUCCGCAGCACGUGGGAUCUUCCCGGACCGGGGCACGAACCCGCGUCCCCUGCAUCGGCAGGCGGACUCUCAACCACUGCGCCACCAGGGAAGCCCUGCAAUGUUGUAUUUUAGCCCAGACAUUUGUUGCCAAGUACAAGAGAAGAAUUUAACCUACUGAACAAUUAUACACCUCAGACAACCGGAAUAAACCUUGAGUCAUCAAAAUGUUCAAGUAUUACAAAACUAUCUUUUAAGAAGGAGAAGGUCCACACUCCAAAACCUGGGCAUUCACAGCCCCUGGAUUCGCACAGCAACCUACACUUCAAACUACGCCCCGUGCCUCUGCGGACGAGCUUGCUCUGCUCCAGGCAGGCCGGCUGCUCAUCCAGCCCAAAUGAUACCUGCUCAGCGACACCUUCCAAAUACCCCCAAGCCGGGAACCAUCACCUCCUCCACCCUCCCGUGAGCUCUGUGUUUCUGUGACAGUUCUACGAGGCACCAGACCAUUUGCUCACCAGUCUCUGGAGGCCUUCGUCCUGAUCUUCAGGUCCCUUCUCAACCUCGGUCUCCAUGAUCUUUUCAGCUCUUCCUGGACUCUCCGAAAGACACCCUACACUCUACGAUUCUGUGUAUUUAAAGCCACUUCUAAGAAAUACGGCAUUGCAUCAGUGUCUCUGAGCUCCUGGUGCCUGCUGCGUGGACUGCCUGCCCCUUGCAUCCUCCGCAAAACCAUACCUGGCCUCCAUUUCCCACGGAAGCAACCGGGCACCAGCCCUGGAUUCACUGCACUGCAGCACUAACUGUGAGACUGCCUUCAAGUCCACUGGCCUUUGGAAUCUCAUUUUCUCCUUCUAGUAAAAACAAAACAAAACAAACAACAGAAAACAAAAUGUGCAGCUUCGUCAC
Physeter macrocephalus (sperm whale) is the source of this 2320-nucleotide long non-coding RNA. RefSeq lists it as uncharacterized. The record is from RefSeq and is a predicted model, not a curated record. Lineage: Eukaryota; Metazoa; Chordata; Mammalia; Artiodactyla; Physeteridae. The transcript has 11 exons.